AACCUUACCUGGGCUUGAUAUCCUAAGAACCUUAUAGAGAUAUGAGGGUGCUAGCUUGCUAGAACUUAGAGACAGGUGCUGCACGGCUGUCGUCAGCUCGUGUCGUGAGAUGUUGGGUUAAGUCCCGCAACGAGCGCAACCCACGUAUUUAGUUGCUAACGGUUCGGCCGAGCACUCUAAAUAGACUGCCUUCGUAAGGAGGAGGAAGGUGUGGACGACGUCAAGUCAUCAUGGCCCUUAUGCCCAGGGCGACACACGUGCUACAAUGGCAUAUACAAUGAGACGCAAUACCGCGAGGUGGAGCAAAUCUAUAAAAUAUGUCCCAGUUCGGAUUGUUCUCUGCAACUCGAGAGCAUGAAGCCGGAAUCGCUAGUAAUCGUAGAUCAGCCAUGCUACGGUGAAUACGUUCCCGGGUCUUGUACUCACCGCCCGUCACACCAUGGGAGUUGAUUUCACUCGAAGCCGGAAUACUAAACUAGUUACCGUCCACAGUGGAAUCAGCGACUGGGGUGAAGUCGUAACAAGGUAACCGUAGGAGAACCUGCGGUUGGAUCACCUCCUUUCUAG
RNAcentral lists this ribosomal RNA (567 nucleotides) under Campylobacter jejuni. RNAcentral's name for it is "bacterial SSU rRNA". It matches the Rfam family "Bacterial small subunit ribosomal RNA", at positions 967 to 1533 of the family's 1533-position model. The record is from RNAcentral. Lineage: Bacteria; Pseudomonadati; Campylobacterota; Epsilonproteobacteria; Campylobacterales; Campylobacteraceae.